Molecule: long non-coding RNA, 323 nt
Organism: Pogoniulus pusillus (Red-fronted tinkerbird)
Lineage: Eukaryota; Metazoa; Chordata; Aves; Piciformes; Lybiidae
Exons: 3
Source: RefSeq, a predicted model, not a curated record
UUUUUUUUUUUCUGGCUAAUGGACUCACAAGGUGAAUUUAUUGCAGCUCUUUUAGAACGUUACACGAGAGACGUCGGUAUCCCAGCUGGAUAAUUCAUAAGCUGAAAAGCAACAGCAUUUCUUGGUACGCCUGCUUUGGCAUACAUCAGCAUUUCUACCCGUCCAAGUGUCCUUUUGCGUCACAUCUCGCCAUCUCCCUCAACCAAUGAGCUCUCCUCCUUGCAAUAAAAAUAUAGAUAAUAGACCUCAUUUUCAACACAGGAUGGUUUCUAAUAAAACAACCUCCAGCAAUGUUUCAUAAAAUAGUCAGCUACGUUGGUUUC